This 202-nucleotide long non-coding RNA is filed under the name Homo sapiens (human). RNAcentral describes it as "HSALNT0285053". The record is from RNAcentral. Lineage: Eukaryota; Metazoa; Chordata; Mammalia; Primates; Hominidae.
CUGUGAUCUCCCAUCUCUCAGUGCUUGUUCCUAAGAAGACUUUUUACUGCGGGCUUACACGGCAGGUGUCCUACGUGAAGGCAAUCGACAUCUGGAUGGCUGUGUGUCUGCUCUUUGUGUUCGCUGCCUUGCUGGAGUAUGCUGCCAUAAAUUUUGUUUCUCGUCAGCAUAAAGAAUUCAUACGACUUCGAAGAAGGCAGAG